RNAcentral lists this ribosomal RNA (425 nucleotides) under uncultured bacterium. RNAcentral's name for it is "partial 16S ribosomal RNA". It matches the Rfam family "Bacterial small subunit ribosomal RNA", at positions 354 to 796 of the family's 1533-position model. The record is from RNAcentral.
GUGGGGAAUAUUGGACAAUGGGCGCAAGCCUGAUCCAGCCAUGCCGCGUGAGUGAUGAAGGCCUUAGGGUUGUAAAGCUCUUUCAGUGGGGACGAUAAUGACGGUACCCACAGAAGAAGCCCCGGCUAAUUUCGUGCCAGCAGCCGCGGUAAUACGAAGGGGGCUAGCGUUGUUCGGAUUUACUGGGCGUAAAGCGCACGUAGGCGGGUCGUUAAGUCAGGGGUGAAAUCCUGGAGCUCAACUCCAGAACUGCCUUUGAUACUGGCGAGCUAGAGUCCGGAAGAGGUGAGUGGAACUCCUAGUGUAGAGGUGGAAUUCGUAGAUAUUAGGAAGAACACCAGUGGCGAAGGCGGCUCACUGGUCCGGUACUGACGCUGAGGUGCGAAAGCGUGGGGAGCAAACAGGAUUAGAAACCCUAGUAGUCC